AUUGAACGCUGGCGGCAGGCCUAACACAUGCAAGUCGAACGGUAGCACAGAGAGCUUGCUCUCGGGUGACGAGUGGCGGACGGGUGAGUAACGUCUGGGAAACUGCCCGAUGGAGGGGGAUAACUACUGGAAACGGUAGCUAAUACCGCAUAACGUCGCAAGACCAAAGUGGGGGACCUUCGGGCCUCACACCAUCGGAUGUGCCCAGAUGGGAUUAGGUAGUAGGUGGGGUAUGGCUCACCUAGGCGACGAUCCCUAGCUGGGCUGAGAGGAUGACCAGCCACACUGGAACUGAGACACGGUCCAGACUCCUACGGGAGGCAGCAGUGGGGAAUAUUGCACAAUGGGCGCAAGCCUGAUGCAGCCAUGCCGCGUGUAUGAAGAAGGCCUUCGGGUUGUAAAGUACUUUCAGCGGGGAGGAAGGCGGUGGAGUUAAUAGCUUCACCGAUUGACGUUACCCGCAGAAGAAGCACCGGCUAACUCCGUGCCAGCAGCCGCGGUAA
RNAcentral lists this ribosomal RNA (503 nucleotides) under uncultured bacterium. Its description in RNAcentral is "partial 16S ribosomal RNA". It matches the Rfam family "Bacterial small subunit ribosomal RNA", at positions 29 to 523 of the family's 1533-position model. The record is from RNAcentral.